This 1002-nucleotide ribosomal RNA is filed under the name Triticum aestivum (bread wheat). RNAcentral's name for it is "partial small subunit ribosomal RNA". The record is from RNAcentral. Lineage: Eukaryota; Viridiplantae; Streptophyta; Magnoliopsida; Poales; Poaceae.
AUGCCGCCGAGGGGGAGGAAGCACUGGUGCAAGCAGUGCAAGAGGAGCUUCCCUUCCGGGGCCUCACUCGGAGGCCACAUGGCGGUCCACAGGAGCCGGCGCAAGAAACAGCUGAGCGGCAACCCAAGAGUCGCCGGCGAGAGGUACGGCCUCCGGGAGAGGUGCCAGAAGACGUCGUGGCUGCUGGAUUCCGCUUCUAGCGACGACGAUCGAUGGGCGUUGUUCCCCAAGACUGAAUGCCAGUUGUGCUUCAAGUCCUUUGCCUCCCCUGACGCCCUGUCGAUGCACAUGAGGAUGCACAAGCGCCGCAGGAAGAUGGCUGUGGAGCACCAGGCAUCGGUAGGCGAUGGUGAUCACAAUGCUCCUCUGUCUGCUGCUCCAGUGAUGAAGAGGAAGAGGUCGAGGAGGAUGGUCAUGGACACUGUUCCUUCCCCGGUGAUGAAGUCAUAUGGGAUGGAGGAGGUUGAUGCCGCAUGGAUUCUUGUGUCGCUUUCAGGAGAUCAUGGCAUGUGCUCGGCUUCUGUUGAUUGUGGCGAAGGUGGUGAGAUGGACGUCAACGCGGCAUCGGCGUUCGAUACGCUCAUGACAGAGAUGGGGCUGAGUUCUCCUGAUCAUCAUGGCCCAGUUGGAGAUAAUGAGUUGAUGGAGCCAGAGCCUUCUAGCUCUUAUGAGGAAGGGAAGUUUGUCAGCCUUUCAAAGGUGUUGAAGGCAACAGCUAGCUAUGAGUGCAAGCUUUGUGGACAGGUCUUCACGUCUGGUCAGGGAUUGGGAGGCCACAGAAAGCGUCACAGUUUUGCCGAUCAUGGUAGAGUUCCAACCGUUCCCAAAUCUGCAGCGACUCAACCGUGCGAAGAGCUGCUUCCACCGGAUCGCCGGUCGCUCUCUCUCAGCCUGCCAGCUCCCAGCAUAUGGAACUGCAGCAGCACAAGGCCAAAGCCUGAACCGAAUCCGCUGUUGGUCGCAAGCAGCCUUUGGGAUGAACGAAUGCUGGGCGUUAUCUGA